Molecule: long non-coding RNA, 523 nt
Filed under: Monodelphis domestica (gray short-tailed opossum)
Lineage: Eukaryota; Metazoa; Chordata; Mammalia; Didelphimorphia; Didelphidae
Description: lncRNA (ENSMODG00000049995.1)
Source: RNAcentral
AAAUUUUAUUGGUAAAUUUUAUUUUUAUGGAAAUAUUAUUGUAACUCUCCCAAAUCAGAGGGGAGGAGGUGAAUGAAGACUCAGCAUACAUCGAAAGUCUCCUGGAAGAACUUGAGAGCCCCAGAACUACCAGAUAUCAAGAUCUUUUGACCUUUGGCACGGACAUGCCAAAGAGAAUGGCUUCUCAAGACUGAGAGACCAACUGCUCUUCAGAAGGAACUUUCUGGUUUCUCAAGAUUCAAGCCUUCUUGGGCCCCUCCCUCGACAAGGAAAAGAUUCAGCUUGGCACUUUUCUUAUGGAAAAACUUCGAUUUAUCAUACUUUCAAUAUUUUGAUUUCAAAGUAUAUCUUCUUCCUUCCAAAAGUCUUCAUCACCUGCAGGUACUCAUUCAGAGAGUGCUGGACCAGUAAGAUGAGUCUUAGAUUGUGGAUGGCGAUCAUAGUUCCCUUCAAGCUAUUUCUAAACAAAGGUUCCAGAUGCCUUCAUGUGGAUAUGAACCUUGGAGAGUCCUGCAGAGACUAG